CAACACCACUCCCCUCUUCUGCCUGCCAGGAACUUGAGGGUCAAGCUGGUCCAUCUCGUCCCGCCACGGGCCCCUGACUUUUCCCAGUCUUCACCCUGCUGAAGUCCGUGUGGGGCCCGGACAAGACGGAACUAAACCCACUCAGCGGAGCUUCCUUCACGUAUCAGGCACCGUAACACCGGGAAACCGGCGACCCAGCCAACCGUAAGAAGGCAGGCACUUUGCGCAGAAAAUAGACUUGGCCGUGAAGGCCUCUGGGAAAUGUAGUCCUCGGCCGAAAAGUUGCUAACCUUUUCAGAUUCUUUUCGACACCAAGUUGCACUUCCAGGCUCCUAGUGGAGUGCCGGGCUCAAGUGAAGCAGCUGCAGCAAAACUGUUGAGCCUCCAGGGCAGAUCUUGGCGCCCUUAAACGCAGCGGUACGCUAAUUACCGCUACUCGCCGACAAGAAAGCCGGCCCGCCCCCACCCCCGUGAGCCGCGGGGGCCUCUGGGAAGUGUUGUCCGGCGUCUAACGGACCGAGGCUCGUGCUGCCCUCAGUCACAGCCGACGCUGACCUUACAGGAGCCUCCGACUCAGCCCGCAGGGGUUGUGCCACUUGGGCGGCAUUGAGUUGUGGGAUUGGGCCUGUAUCCGCGGGCUCCUUGAUUCUUCAGGUACUAAUUCAUUUAUCCAUCAGCACUCCCUUUAUUGAAUGCUGUCUAUGUGAAAGGAAUAAUUCUAGAUACUUGGGAUAUAGCACUGAACAAAAGAGAAACUCUCUGCUGUCAUGGUACUUACAUUGUCGUGGACCAGAUAAUAAGGUAAGUGAGUUAAGUAUAACAUACAUUCAGUAGUGAAAAAUAUUAAGAGAAAAAGUAAAACAGAAGGGUAUAUACGGUGAGAGAAGGGAAUUCAAGUUUUAGAUGGUGUGGCUAGGGAAGGCAUCCUGAAAAGGUAAUAAAGAUAUGAUGGAAGUGGAGCACCGGGGUGUCUUAGUCAGGUAAGCAUCCAACUCAGUUUCGGCUACUCUCAUGGUUCAUGGUUUCGAGCCCCAAGUCAGGCUCCAUGCUGGCAUUGCAGAACCUGCUUGGCAUCCUGUCUUUCCCUCUCUCUGCCCUUCCCCUGCUCAUGUGUGCGCUCUCUCUCUCUCAAAAUAAAUGUAAAAAACAAAAGAUAUGAAGGAAGUAAAGGAGCUAUUUAUGCAUGUAAUUGAGGGAAGGUUAUUCCAGGCAGAAUGAACAACAGUUAUAAAAGUCCUGAGGUGGGAACCUGCUUGUUAACAGCAGAGAGGCUGGUAUGGCUGAAAUAGAGCAAAUGAGAUGGAGACUAGUGGGAAAUGAGAGAAAAAAGGUAAGUGGAGGGAAGAAGGGUAGAUCAAGUUCAUAACAUGGGCCAUAUUAUGAUUUGGCUUUUACUGUGAAUGAGGUGGGAAGCUGUUGGAGAGUUUUGAUCAUGGGAGUGACAUUAUCUUGCCUACAAUGUAAGAGUAUCACUUUGGCUGCUCUGAUGAGGAACUAUACGAAGAAGGAUGGGGGUGGGGGGACAAGGGUAGAAGAGACCAUUUAGGAAACCUUUACAAUAAUCUAGGGAAAAGAUGUCCGUGACCUGGAACAGAGUAGUAAAAAUGGUGAGAAGUAGUCAUGUAUUGGAUAUAAUUUAAAGAUAGAGCUGAUGGGGUUUGCUGAAGGAACUGAUGUGGAGUAUAAUUGUGACAAGAGGACACAGUAUUUUUCAAUCUGGCACACUUGAAGAACAGAGUUAUCAUUAACUGAGAAAGGAAAGAAAGUAGGAAAAACUGACUUGGGGCAAAGGGAGAUAGUGAGAUUUCAGUUUGGAAUAUAGUAUAUGAAGCAUGAGAUGCCCAUUGGACAUUCAAGUAGAGAUAUUAAGUUGGCAGUGGGAUAUACAAGUCUGAAGUUCAAAAGAAGAAUCUGAGGGGUGCUGGGUGGCUCAGUGGUUAGGUUAGCACGGAGUCUGCUUGGGAUUUCUCUCUGUCUCUCUCUGCCCCACUGCCGCUCUCAUGCAUAUCUGUGUGCUCACACGUGCACACUCUCUCUCAAAAAAUAAAUAAACAUUUUUUUAAAAAAAUUAUGUGAGAUCUAGGCUAGAGACAUAAAUUUGGGAAUUAUCAAUAUGUAGAUAUUUAAAGUGAAUAGACUGAAUGAGAUCACUUAAAGGGUAGGAUAGAUAGAAAAAGGUAGAGGUAAAGGACUUAUAUCUGGGUCACUCCAACAAAGCCUGGGAAAUGAGAAGGAACAAGCAAAAAGGACUGGAAGGGACUAGCUAGAAUGGUUGGAGGGAAGCUAAGUGAGUUUGAUACCCUGGAAACCAAAGGAAAAAUGUGUGUUAACAAGAACUGUGUCAGUGCUGCUGAUAGGCCAAGUGAAAAGACGACUGAGAAAGGAAUGUUGACUUUAGCAACAUGAAAGUCAUUGGUGACCCUGAAGAGGAGUUUCAGUGGAGUAUGGGGCUAAAGAGAGAAAUAGAGAAAAAAGUUUGGAGAUACCUGUUAUAGAUAAUUCUUUAAGUUUUUCUUUAAAUGGAAGAGGAGUGAAAUAGAGGGGUAGAUGGAGUUGGAUUUAACCAGAGUGUUGGUUUCAUGAACUAAUUAGGAGUAAUGUGAGGCAAGGGUGUCUAAGUUGGCAGGAAUUAAUUAUAUUGAUUGACUGAAUUUUAGGCCAGGUAAGUAGAAGAGUGAGGAUAGGAAGGAGGUGAGGGACAGUGAAAAAUUGGUAGAAUGAACGAAGUUCCUGAUGGGGUUGAAGGACUGUUGGGUUGAAAUAUUAGAGGAAGUAAGGUAGAGAGAUGGGAUAUUUUUCCUUUACUUGUCAAAUGUUUUCAAAAUAGAACAAUCCCUCUUUUUACCACUGUAUCAGUUUAAGAAAACAUGGAAGAUUACCAGCUAUAUUUCAGUAGGGGUUACAAAAUGAUAUUUGGUAUAAAUGGUGUUUGAGUUCUGCAUUCCUUCUUCAUUUACUGGCUGGAAUAUUGUAAAGAAAAAAAUUUCCCUCAUCAACCCUUUGGUUACCUUGAAGAAGGUUUUUAUAGGAAAAGCAGAAUACACUGAUUCUUUCCCUUUAUAGGUUUUCAGGCUAUUGAAUUGGUUCCUUAGCAUUUCCCAAUGAGUUGUUAUUUUUACUGUUAUGUACUCAUAGAUUUUAGCAUAUUUGAUGUAAUUCAAAC
This 3163-nucleotide long non-coding RNA is filed under the name Panthera leo (lion). RNAcentral's name for it is "lncRNA (ENSPLOG00000010382.1)". Lineage: Eukaryota; Metazoa; Chordata; Mammalia; Carnivora; Felidae. The record is from RNAcentral.